GUUGGGAAAGAAAAGAUUUUGAAUCAGACCUCAAGAUCCACUAAAGGCAGAAGCUGCUGAAACCAGAGGAGGGGGCAGAGCUCUCGGAUCAAUAGCCCCAGAAAUAAAAAGAGACAGAGAAGAAUUUAACUCCCCAUCUCCACUCGGGCUGAUCGAUACCCUAAUUAAGCACUUUGCAAGCAGCGUCUUUCCUAGAGGGACCUACCAGCGGGCACCUCUCUCAUGUCUGCCUGGUACUGAGCUCAUGCCGGCUGGAGACAUUUGACGGGCAGCUGGGGGCAACUGGAAGACCCCAAAAAGCCACACAGGACAGACUACGCUUGGGUGACAUCUCUAGGGACUGAGCAUCAAGAAGAUCUACUGUUGGGUGGUGGGAGUCUGUUCCUUCUCUGCUCCCCUUCCCCUGUGCCCACCUCGCCCCAAUGAAGGAACCAGAUGCCAUCAAACUUUUCAUUGGACAGAUCCCCAGGAACCUUGAUGAGAAGGACCUCAAGCCAAUCUUUGAACAGUUUGGGAAAAUUUAUGAACUUACAGUCAUUAAAGACAAAUUUACAGGGAUGCACAAAGGAUGUGCGUUCCUAACCUAUUGCGCCCGAGAGUCUGCACUUAAGGCACAGAGCGCCCUACACGAACAGAAGACCCUACCAGGGAUGAACAGACCAAUUCAGGUGAAACCAGCAGACAGCGAGAGCAGAGGAGAGGACCGCAAGCUGUUUGUUGGUAUGUUGGGGAAGCAGCAGACAGAUGAAGACGUACGGAGGAUGUUUGAACCCUUUGGAAACAUAGACGAGUGCACAGUCCUGCGGGGCCCUGACGGCACAAGCAAAGGUUGUGCAUUUGUGAAGUUCCAGACACACACGGAAGCUCAGGCCGCCAUCAACGCUUUACACGGAAGCCGGACAUUACCGGGGGCCUCCUCCAGUCUAGUAGUAAAGUUUGCAGACACGGAGAAGGAGCGAGGACUGAGGAGGAUGCAGCAAGUGGCCAAUCAGCUGGGGAUGUUCAGUCCCAUUGCCCUCCAGUUUGGCGCAUACAGCGCGUACACACAGGCAGUAAGUGACCAGCUCAUGCAGCAGCAGGCCGCCCUGGUGGCCGCACACAGCGCUUACCUCAAUCCUAUGGCCACAAUGGCCGCUGUCCAGAUGCAGCAAAUGGCGACAAUCAACCCCAACGGGAUCAUUGCCACACCCAUCACCCAAAUUAACCCAAUCACUUCUUCUUCAGGUACCAGUACUCCACCAACACUCACUGCCACUCAAGUAUCUGCCAUUCCUGCAACGCUGGGAGUCAACGGUUACAGUGCAGUACCCACCCAGAGCACCGUACAGCCCAGCUCCGAGGCAAUCUACACCAAUGGGCUGCACCCGUAUCCAGCCCAAAGUCCAGUGGCCCAGUUGGAUCCUCUACAACAAGCCUACGCAGGCAUGCAGCACUACACAGCCGCCUACCCUGCUGCUUACGGACUGGUCAGCCCGGCAUUUACCCAGCCCCCUGCGAUACUCCAACAGCAGCCCCCACAGCAACAGCAACAGAGAGAGGGUCCCGAGGGCUGCAACAUCUUUAUCUACCACCUGCCGCAGGAAUUCACAGACUCCGAGAUCCUCCAGAUGUUCCUGCCAUUUGGGAAUGUUAUUUCUGCCAAAGUGUUUGUAGACCGCGCCACCAAUCAGAGCAAAUGUUUCGGUUUUGUAAGUUUUGACAAUCCAGGCAGUGCCCAGGCUGCUAUCCAAGCAAUGAAUGGAUUCCAGAUCGGAAUGAAAAGGCUGAAAGUGCAACUCAAGCGACCAAAAGAUGCCAACAGGCCGUACUGAGGCGUUCAGGAGGCACUGUUGUACAGAAGCAGCCGGGUAAGUGUCCCUCGGUGACAAUCUGUGAGUGGCGUGUGCUCCUCAUGUGCCCUUGUGUGUGUAUUCUGCGUGUGGUCCGUAUUUUGGAGUGCGGUAUCUCCUUGUGUUUUUAUGACUGUACUUUAGUUUCUCGUUUAUAUUUUUCUUUUACAUUUGAGUCUAUUUUUUUUUUUAAAAAAAUUUUGGUUUUGUUCUUACGAGUUAGUUCUGAAAGGCUUUCCGCAAGGGCAGACAGUGAGAGAGUAAAGGGAUACUGACGUCUCUAACAUAACAGCAGCAUCGGAAUCUUAACAUAAAAUACCCCCUUGUUUGUACAUGGGGUUUAAAAAUAAUAAUAAUAAACUAAUUGAAUACCUGAUACAUUUGCCUACAACUUGGCCUUUACUCCAUUAAGUAGAAUUGGGAGGGCAAAGAUUAUUCAUGCACAUUGCCAGUAGGUGGCGCUCAGUUUAGAGUUCAGAAAGCAGUUCCUCCCAUCAGAUUUUAGCACCGCCCCCAGUUAGAGCACAAGGAAAAGACCCGCCCCCUGGGAGCCAGAAACAAUUGCAGGUAAAAAGCUCAAGGUCUUUGAUGAGAUAUCUUUUAUUUUUUGUUUCGUAAAUGCAAUGCGAAACCUAAUAAUAACUUUAUAUAUGGAAUCCUAUGCUGCCAUUAGGUUAUUGAUGUUAUUAUCACUUUAAAUACACUUUACAUAAGUAAAGAUUACGAUAUAGAUUUUUUUGUGGAGACAAGCAAAUUUAAAAAUUACAUUAAAAUCGCUACUGUCUGCCACAAUAAUUAGGCAUUUAAUAUAUAUAUAUAUAUUCAUAAAUAAAUAGAAAAAAAUUCAAGUAACAGGAAUCUACCUACCUAGUAUAAAAGGCAACAAAAAGGAAAAAUAUAUCUGUUUCAGUAAAAAUCUAUAAAAUUAAACACCACAGUGUAUGAUGACUUGGAUAUUUUGUUUUCUAAAAAUGAGAAAUUCAUAAAUUUUGUUUAUAAAAAAUAAAGAAAAAAAACUUAAUUCUAAUUAAAUAUAUAUCUAAUUAUAUCUGACUAGCCAGUAAGAACAUCAGGAAAACUGCGCUGUAAUUAUGUGUGUAUUUAAAUAUACAGUAUAUAUAGCCAUAUUCUAUAGAUUUGCCAGAAAAACAACAAGACCAAAAAAAACAGCUUCUCUUUUUCUGCCGCUUGAAACCUGCCCACCUCGUGCCAGGGUCCAAUCAAUCAUGAGAUGACUCUGUCGCUAUGACGUAACCCUAACGUCCAUUGGCUGCCCUGGGACAAGUAGCAGCGCCCCUUGGUGUGCAUAUGUUUUGGGGUGCAAGGGAAUCCUGGUUCCAGCCCCUUCUACUUUCUACUAUUUCUCUCAUGACACCUCAGAACGGAUUCAAAACUUUUUACUGCUGCUGGACCAAGGAGAACAUUUUCUUCAGGGGAAAUCUCAAACUGCUAAAUCUGGUGGUUGCCCAACUAUUAACCAGCAAGGACCUUCAGACAUAUCCAUUCCCCCAGAGAUGUAGAACAUUCCUGACUCUCUGUACGUCUUAAUAAAUGGCCGUGAGAGAUCAGAGGAACUAAAUACUCAUAGAAGAGUGGAUUUUUUUCAUGUCGCGAUUCAGCUACCAAAAUCCGGAAAGUUGGAGACAAUGGUUAAGGCCUUUGGCCGCAAAAGUGCGAUUGUACAGACACAGGUUACAUUUUUUUGUGGGCCAGGUAAUGUGUUUAGCUGAUGGUAAAUUUCGCGUCUCACAGUUGUUGGGCAGACCAGAAGUUGAGAUAUUUUUUUUUCAUAUUCCACAGGCAAGAGUUUAAGCUUCAUAUUCAAAGGGAUGGGAUGUAUAUUUCUUCAGAAUCGGGGUGCGGGGGAGCAUAUCGCACACAGAGAGCCCCUAGCUAUUUAUUCAGAAACGUCCAGGCAGCAAAGGCUGCUGUGUAAAUAGGAUAUAGGAUGGAGGGUACGGGAUUUAGUGUGCAAUAUCUUCUUAUCCCAAUGUUCUCAUUAAAAAAAAAAAAAGUACAAGACUCCUGGCCUUGAUGGUCAUCCAGAAGCCUAGCUUUACCUGCCGCCCACUCCCACCUUUUCUUAGUAGAUAAAAGUCAAAGCACCCAGCGGGGGAGUAUAUGUGAACCAUAUGAACACUGAUAAAAAAUAUUGUCCCUCUAUAGAACCAUAGAGGGACUUUUUAUUGGGUGCUCCUAGAAAGCAUAAACCUUCCUACAGAGAAUGCUACCAAACCAUAGUAGAUACUACAGCAGAGCAUUAAACUGCACAACUUCCUCUAGGGAGCUUCCUAAAAGCAUCUCCUCUCCUGUAGGGCUUAGCUGCAAACAGCACACCACUAUGUUUCUAUUGCCCUGCAGAACAUUACUCCUGCCAAUGCUCUGCAGGGUUGCUUUCUCUGCCACAUACCCUGGAAGUGAUAAUCACAUGGGGGUUCAUUUACAGCAGAAUGCUGACUUCAGAUGCACUUGAGAUAUUUAAAUGCUGGGAUGUCAUUGCACUACAUGGAAAAUGCAUCUGGCUUACAAGGGGUCAAACCCUAAUUUGGGGAUGGCUAAUGAUUGACUGCAGAAGGGCACUGACUGCCCUUUCUUCUCAGUUCCCGAUUGGUUUUUUUUUGAUUCAGUUAAGGGGGGGGGUCAGAGGUCAUAGCCGAAGGGUUGCCGCUAUCCGCGCAGAAGGAUUAAACAUGUUUACAGUCUCUGAAAUCUCCCGGAAAUUGUACAUAAUUUUGUUUGCGACUAGAGAAAACAAAAAGAAAAAAAAAAAAAAGAAAAAAUUCUCUGCCAUUUUAUCGUAAAAACUCUAGAACUAUUAAUUUUUUCUUCUUCCUUUGGUUAAGGGGAGCAGGUAUGCAGGGAAAGGGUAUUUUAAUAUAAUAUAAACAGGUGGGGGCUGGGGUUAUAAAUGACCAAUUCCCUAUGAUUAUAUAAUGCUUAACUUAUUUCUUAUUUAUUGCUGUUUAUUUGGAUUUAAUUUUUUUUCUGUCUAAAUGAAAUAAAUUUGAUGAAGAA
Molecule: RNA transcript, 4844 nt
Organism: Xenopus laevis (African clawed frog)
Lineage: Eukaryota; Metazoa; Chordata; Amphibia; Anura; Pipidae
Gene: celf3.L
Gene name: CUGBP, Elav-like family member 3 L homeolog
Exons: 14
Source: RefSeq, marked provisional